This 498-nucleotide ribosomal RNA is filed under the name Saccharomyces cerevisiae (brewer's yeast). RNAcentral's name for it is "partial large subunit ribosomal RNA". It matches the Rfam family "Eukaryotic large subunit ribosomal RNA", at positions 136 to 648 of the family's 3401-position model. The record is from RNAcentral. Lineage: Eukaryota; Fungi; Ascomycota; Saccharomycetes; Saccharomycetales; Saccharomycetaceae.
GCCCGAGUUGUAAUUUGGAGAGGGCAACUUUGGGGCCGUUCCUUGUCUAUGUUCCUUGGAACAGGACGUCAUAGAGGGUGAGAAUCCCGUGUGGCGAGGAGUGCGGUUCUUUGUAAAGUGCCUUCGAAGAGUCGAGUUGUUUGGGAAUGCAGCUCUAAGUGGGUGGUAAAUUCCAUCUAAAGCUAAAUAUUGGCGAGAGACCGAUAGCGAACAAGUACAGUGAUGGAAAGAUGAAAAGAACUUUGAAAAGAGAGUGAAAAAGUACGUGAAAUUGUUGAAAGGGAAGGGCAUUUGAUCAGACAUGGUGUUUUGUGCCCUCUGCUCCUUGUGGGUAGGGGAAUCUCGCAUUUCACUGGGCCAGCAUCAGUUUUGGUGGCAGGAUAAAUCCAUAGGAAUGUAGCUUGCCUCGGUAAGUAUUAUAGCCUGUGGGAAUACUGCCAGCUGGGACUGAGGACUGCGACGUAAGUCAAGGAUGCUGGCAUAAUGGUUAUAUGCCGC